Non-coding RNA from Biomphalaria pfeifferi, 415 nucleotides. Lineage: Eukaryota; Metazoa; Mollusca; Gastropoda; Planorbidae. The record is from the annotation of a GenBank genome assembly.
ACGUAAACAAACAUGUUUUUAAAUAAAUCAAAGUAUAAUUUUAAUUAACAUUUAUGCGUCAAUGAAAAUACAUGUACAAAUACAAAUAAAUCUUUGAUAAUUUAACUAAUGUAUAAAUCACUAAAAAAAACACGUCUUUGUGUCACUCUUCUCUCACUUGUUCUCUCUAUCCUAGACGUUCACAGAUCUAUUAUAACCUCAACUACGUUAGACCUCAUAGUGAUUUCAUCAGAGUCUAUUCAGCCAACCUAAUCAUCUGCUCAUACAUUUUAACAGCCUUCCCAAUAACUAACUAAAGCAAUGUAGUCCUUGACAUUGUUUAUAAUGACCUUCAAAAUCUUUCCUUUCUCCUUUAAUUAUGUUUUAAAGUCUCCAUUAUACUGACACCACAUUUCUUCUUAUUUCUUUUUUUCCU